AACGAACGCUGGCGGCAGGCCUAACACAUGCAAGUCGAGCGCGCCCUUCGGGGUGAGCGGCGGACGGGUGAGUAACGCGUGGGAACGUGCCCUUUUCUACGGAAUAGCCUCGGGAAACUGAGAGUAAUACCGUAUACGCCCUUUGGGGGAAAGAUUUAUCGGACAAGGAUCGGCCCGCGUUGGAUUAGGUAGUUGGGGGGGUAAUGGCCUACCAAGCCGACGAUCCAUAGCUGGUUUGAGAGGAUGAUCAGCCACACUGGGACUGAGACACGGCCCAGACUCCUACGGGAGGCAGCAGUGGGGAAUCUUAGACAAUGGGGGCAACCCUGAUCUAGCCAUGCCGCGUGAGUGAUGAAGGCCUUAGGGUUGUAAAGCUCUUUCAGCUGGGAAGAUAAUGACGGUACCAGCAGAAGAAGCCCCGGCUAACUCCGUG
Molecule: ribosomal RNA, 433 nt
Filed under: uncultured bacterium
Lineage: Bacteria
Description: partial 16S ribosomal RNA
Rfam family: Bacterial small subunit ribosomal RNA
Source: RNAcentral